Long non-coding RNA from Hermetia illucens (black soldier fly), 755 nucleotides. RefSeq lists it as uncharacterized. NCBI's taxonomy places the organism in Eukaryota, Metazoa, Arthropoda, Insecta, Diptera, Stratiomyidae. The record is from RefSeq and is a predicted model, not a curated record. The transcript has 2 exons.
CGUUGAACUUGGGGGGCCAAAAGCGGAGGAAAACGACCAUUAGAUGGUGAUCCUUCCGAGGUCAUUUUAAAUGAAUUCCUUGUUAAAUCAGCGCCUCAUCGUCGAUAAAUCAGGAGACUCUUCAUCAAUCCUAGUCAUCUGUAGGACGUAGAUAUUGGCAGAGUUAAAGCUAUCACCUAAGAUCCAUUCAUGCUAAAAACUGGUCUUUCGCUUAUUACUUAUCACAGCUCUUGACCAUUAGUGGAUAUGAGCACCACUUUUAGUAUUCAAGAGGACCCCUUUCCGUCGGGUUGGUCGGAAGUCAACGAAAAUUUAUCCAGACCAACAGCGCACUUCUCAACGGAUAUUUACUGCAAUCAUCAUGCUACCAAAAUCCACGAAUUAGCGGUCGAAUUGGAUUUCAACGAGGUCGAAAGGACACUAUGAUGUACUGUCUACUACUAUCGGAUGGGCUAUUUCUCCUGCAGUUGCCGCCAACUUUCCCAGACACCGUUUGCAGUUGCUUGCACCAGUAACGAAGAGUCGAAGGAGUCAGGAAAAUAGGCGAAAAAUGGUGUUUUGUUUACUUAAGGCUGUUUUCAACAUUAUUGAUAAAUCAAAAACUAACAUUUUGUAAAUUAUCAUGUUUCAAUUCGAAUUAAUCCUUUUUGUAAAUAAAUGUACAGUAAAUUUUCCACAUUGUUCGCUACGUAUCAAUUACUGCUUCAAAUGUACAUGAAACUAUCUAUUUUUUCAAUAAAGAUUAGUUAAACGAA